This 29-nucleotide small RNA is filed under the name Bombyx mori (domestic silkworm). RNAcentral describes it as "ovarian small RNA-35587". Lineage: Eukaryota; Metazoa; Arthropoda; Insecta; Lepidoptera; Bombycidae. The record is from RNAcentral.
UGUCACAAUUCACCGGACGUGCCACGCUC